Molecule: long non-coding RNA, 814 nt
Filed under: Triticum aestivum (bread wheat)
Lineage: Eukaryota; Viridiplantae; Streptophyta; Magnoliopsida; Poales; Poaceae
Description: long non-coding RNA (TAES_LNC016542)
Source: RNAcentral
GAUCGGGCCCGACGGCCUCCCCAAGCCACGCGGCGCCCGCCCGUCGCCGUCCACCGCACCGGAGCCACCUAGCGCCCGACCCCCCCCUUGCUGCGAUGGAGCUCCACCUCGCCGGCGUGCCAGUCGCCUGAGGUCCCCGCCGACGGCGCCGUCGCCCCUUCGUCCUCGUCUCCCCCUCGCCGCGAUGCCGCGCGGGACGCCUCCGCCACGGCCACCUCGUCGUCACCCCGUCGUGCCAGCCCCGGCUCCUCCUCGAGCAGGCUUUGCUCAACUACAGGGCUCGGUGAGCCCCGUCCUCUCUCUCUCCCUCGUUCUCUGACGCCGGCGCCGUCCACCGCGUACCGACCGCGCUCGGCCCUGCGCCUCGCCAUGGUCCUCCGCCCCCUUUGAACACCCCCCGCUACCGUCCCACGACCGCGGCGACUUACCGCCCGUCCGCGCUCACCGCCGACCCACAUCUGCCCCGCGGCCACCCUGCCGGCCACCACGCCACCGCCCUGGCCGGCGCCCCACCGUGCCCCGGUGGCCUCGCCUCGCCUCCCCGAUCGGGCUCGGCCCUGGUCGGGUGCGCCCAUAAGCGCACUGCUGGCGCCCGNNNNNNNNNNCGCCCGCCCGUCGCCGUCCACCGCACCGGAGCCACCUAGCGCCCGACCCCCCCCUUGCUGCGAUGGAGCUCCACCUCGCCGGCGUGCCAGUCGUCUGAGGUCCCCGCCGACGGCGCCGUCGCCCCUUCGUCCUCGUCUCCCCCUCGCCGCGAUGCCGCGCGGGACGCCUCCGCCACGGCCACCUCGUCGUCACCCCGUCGUGCCAGCCC